UACGUAGGGGGCAAGCGUUGUCCGGAUUUAUUGGGCGUAAAGAGCGUGUAGGCGGUUUGGUAGGUCCGCUGUGAAAACUCGAGGCUCAACCUCGAGACGCCGGUGGAAACCAUCAGACUAGAGUCCGGAAGAGGAGAGUGGAAUUCCUGGUGUAGCGGUGAAAUGCGCAGAUAUCAGGAGGAACACCGGUGGCGAAGGCGGGUCUCUGGGCCGAUAUCGAUGCGCUGGAGGAGCGAAAGCGUGG
RNAcentral lists this ribosomal RNA (244 nucleotides) under uncultured bacterium. Its description in RNAcentral is "partial 16S ribosomal RNA". It matches the Rfam family "Bacterial small subunit ribosomal RNA", at positions 524 to 764 of the family's 1533-position model. The record is from RNAcentral.